UAAACUGAGCGACCUCAACUGUGAAUGGUCCUGGCGCACCAAAAAAAAAAAAAAAAAGUGUCAAGGGAAGGCAGUGUGGAUUUUGGUGUCACUCCUAUCAAAUCCCAUUGAGAGCACACAUAAUUGACAGAAAAACUAGAGUUGUUGCAUCAUGUUAUGUUGUUGUCCUCCGGUGGCUAGCUAGCAGAACGCGCACAGAAAUCAGAACCAUGGACAGUCACAUCAUAUUUAGCUUACUUUGACUGGACUGAAUGGAGAAUGCCGUUUUACGAUCCAGUAACCAAUUGUAGGACCUGAACCCUAGGACCAUGCCCCAGGGCUACCUGGCCUGAUGACUCCUUGCUUUCCUCAGUCCACCUGGCCGUGCUGCUGCUCCAGUUUCAACUAUUCUGCCUGCGGCUAUGGAACCCUGACCUGUUCACCGGACGUGCUACCUGUCCAAGACCUGCUGUUUUCAACUCUCUAGAAACAGCAGGAGUGGUAUAGAUACUUUGAAUGAUCGGCUAUGAAAAGACAACUGACAUUUACUCCUGAGGUGCUGACCUGUUGCACCCUCGACAACUGUGAUUAUUAUUAUUUGACCCUGCUGGUCAUCUAUGAACAUUUGAACAUCUUGGCAUGUUCUGUUAUAAUCUACACCCAGCACAGCCAGAAGAGGACUGGCCACCCCUCAUAGCCUGGUUCCUCUCUAGGUUUCUUCCUAGGUUCUGGCCUUUCUAGGGAGUUUUUCCUACUGUCACAGGCCGGCUCAUAGCCUGUGGCAAAAAUGAGAGGACAUCAACAACCGGUAUAGGCCAAUUAAAAAAAAGUAUUUAUUAUAAAACAAAACUAUUAAUUCUAAACAAAGAAAAAGGAAUGAGGUGUGGAAAUGUCAUAAUGUAGGGUGUAUGUAAGGUGCAUGGAUGCGUGAAUAUGUGUGUGUAAACAUGACUGAGUGGAAACUAAAUAAACCAACAAAGGAACAAUCAAAACAGGAUCAUACCUGGAGGAGCAGGGAGAGAGAGAGCAAGCCAAGCGAGGCGAGAGAGAGGAGGAACCGCCCCUGCACUGCAGAGGAGGAGCCGUGACACUACCCACCGUGCUUCUACACCUGCAUUGCUUGCUGUUUGGGGUUUUAGGCUGGGUUUCUGUACUUUGAGAUAUCAGCUGAUGUAAGAAGGGCUUUAUAAAUACAUUUGAUUUGAAUUUGAUUUGGGUAGGUCUUCCUGAAAACAAUGGCGCAAGGGAUAGUUAAUUGCACUACUGAAAUGCCCCUAAUCAAAACAAAAUAAAAACGGCCUAAACCCAGUCAGAAAACACUGAAAAUUGUACUUUUUUCAAUGUGUCAAUCACGCCCAAGUCUUCUGGGACCCACCAGCUAAGCCCAAGGGACACCUAGGGAGGCACUUGAACAUUCUCAGUGUCAUUCCAAAAAGUGAUCAAAUUCAACAUCUUCUCACAGACUCCAGCCUUGACUUCCUCUGCCUUUCAGAGACAUGGCCCCAUAAAAACUCUCCAUAUGCUGCUUUGAAUGUGCCUUCCUACAAUGUUUUCAGGAGAGACAGGACUGAAGGAUGAGGGGGUCUGAUGAUUUACAUUAAAGAACAUAUCCGAUGUAAACAAAUUGAAUGGUCAUGUGAUAAUGAACUAGAAUGUAUUAGCCUAAACGUUACUCUCUCCCCAAAUGUCUUUUACCCUUAUUGGACUUUAC
Molecule: long non-coding RNA, 1690 nt
Filed under: Salmo salar (Atlantic salmon)
Lineage: Eukaryota; Metazoa; Chordata; Actinopteri; Salmoniformes; Salmonidae
Description: lncRNA (ENSSSAG00000086643.1)
Source: RNAcentral